Molecule: long non-coding RNA, 1207 nt
Organism: Drosophila montana
Lineage: Eukaryota; Metazoa; Arthropoda; Insecta; Diptera; Drosophilidae
Exons: 3
Source: RefSeq, a predicted model, not a curated record
AUCGAUAAGACGCAGUAAAAUCGCGCCAUUUCAAGUGCAAGUAUCUAAAAUAACUGUUAAUAUACACAAAAGAAAUAAUAGAAUAGUUGUAUAUCAACUAAGUUUCAGCUGCAUGCAUAUGCCCAGCCUUAAUUGGCCACCGGUUGCCAGUUUCAGCUAACGUUGCUGCUCGUUGCCAGCGAAAAAGUAUUGUACAGAUAAUGCAACAACGAAAACUGUCUGUCCGGGCAGUAGAGGGGCAACAGCCUCGUGUAGAAAAUUACGACUAGAACUAAGACUACGGCCAAAAAAAGUCAUCAGUCGCACUCGGGUCCCUCCGAGAAAUGGCCGCGCACAUCGAGCGCCGAUGCCAGCUGGAAAAUGAUGUGCGACAGCGAGGGAUGUUCGAGCAGUUCGUUAGCCGGCAGCUGGGGCUCACAGCGCGGUCGCAUGUGGCGUCCACGGAAACCGCGAUGCAAACGCAGCACCACAUCACAGAAGACGAAACGUAGAAUGAGUGUGCGCAGAAAAUCGUCGCCAAAGAACUGAACAUAGGAGGAGUCUGCAAAGCAACAAGAUAAACCCCAUUAGAGUGUGCGCUUGCAGUAUGCCAAGCGAGACCUCUUACCGAUAAAGCCUAUGCCCUGUUCGAUCUCAUCGAUGCGACAACGCGUGACCAGGCGCGACGCUUCGGUUAUGAAGCGAUCCACAUAGGUCUGGCAGCGUUCCCAGUGAUGGAUGGGCACAUCUCCCACAUUGCAUAUGUAGCAGAGCGCCGUGAGCGGGGAGUGCAGGAACAACGUGAACAGCGACCCAUGUUGCUGUACAUCAGCUGCAAGAUAAAUAGAGAGAGAAAGGGAGAGUAUAAAAGUUGCCAUCUGGUAAAUUGUUCUCAUACUUAAAUGUGGCUACGAUCAGACGGAUAUCAGAGUGAUAAUAAAAAUUAAAACAAAAAUUUGCCGAGCAUCCAUUGGGUAAGUCUACAGCGUUGCCAUCUUGUAAAUAAUUAUCAAAUAUAACCGAUAUAGGUUAGGGAUACAGAGUUGCCAUCUAGGUUAAGAUACGAUCAGAUGGAUAGUAGAAAGUAAACAAUGAAAAUAAUAACAAUUAGAUUUAAAAACCAUGCCAACGAGUAAAAAGUUUAACUAUUUUUCUGGAGUUAUACUACAUGAACACACAUUGAAUUUUAUUGCAUUAUAUAUAAUAUAUAUAUAAAGUACAAUAACAU